AGUUAAUGAAGCAAAUCCAGGCCUUGCAAAAGAUCUAAACCCUUUUUACAGAGGUUCAACUCCUCUCUUUAACU
RNAcentral lists this transfer RNA (74 nucleotides) under Pristimantis ecuadorensis. RNAcentral describes it as "tRNA-Leu". It matches the Rfam family "tRNA". From Rfam's summary of the family: Transfer RNA (tRNA) molecules are approximately 80 nucleotides in length. Their secondary structure includes four short double-helical elements and three loops (D, anti-codon, and T loops). Further hydrogen bonds mediate the characteristic L-shaped molecular structure. tRNAs have two regions of fundamental functional importance: the anti-codon, which is responsible for specific mRNA codon recognition, and the 3' end, to which the tRNAs corresponding amino acid is attached (by aminoacyl-tRNA synthetases). tRNAs cope with the degeneracy of the genetic code in two manners: having more than one tRNA (with a specific anti-codon) for a particular amino acid; and 'wobble' base-pairing, i.e. permitting non-standard base-pairing at the 3rd anti-codon position. Lineage: Eukaryota; Metazoa; Chordata; Amphibia; Anura; Strabomantidae. The record is from RNAcentral.